This 562-nucleotide ribosomal RNA is filed under the name uncultured bacterium. RNAcentral describes it as "bacterial SSU rRNA". It matches the Rfam family "Bacterial small subunit ribosomal RNA", at positions 326 to 903 of the family's 1533-position model. The record is from RNAcentral.
UCACUAGUGAAUCCUACGGGAGGCAGUAGGGGGAGCUUGCGCAAUGGGCGAAAGCCUGACGCAGCGACGCCGCGUGAGGGAUGACGGCCUUCGGGUUGUAAACCUCUUUCAGCUCCGACGAAGCGAGAGUGACGGUAGGAGCAGAAGAAGCACCGGCCAACUACGUGCCAGCAGCCGCGGUAAUACGUAGGGUGCAAGCGUUGUCCGGAAAUUAUUGGGCGUAAAGAGCUCGUAGGCGGUCUGUCGCGUCGGCUGUGAAAACUCGGGGCUCAACCCCGAGCUUGCAGUCGAUACGGGCAGGCUAGAGUUCGGCAGGGGAGACUGGAAUUCCUGGUGUAGCGGUGAAAUGCGCAGAUAUCAGGAGGAACACCGGUGGCGAAGGCGGGUCUCUGGGCCGAUACUGACGCUGAGGAGCGAAAGCGUGGGGAGCGAACAGGAUUAGAUACCCUGGUAGUCCACGCCGUAAACGUUGGGCGCUAGGUGUGGGAGCCCUUCCACGGGUCCCGUGCCGCAGCUAACGCAUUAAGCGCCCCGCCGGGGAGACGGCCGGAAGGCAAACCCG